This 253-nucleotide ribosomal RNA is filed under the name uncultured bacterium. Its description in RNAcentral is "partial 16S ribosomal RNA". It matches the Rfam family "Bacterial small subunit ribosomal RNA", at positions 524 to 776 of the family's 1533-position model. The record is from RNAcentral.
UACGUAGGGUGCAAGCGUUGUCCGGAAUUAUUGGGCGUAAAGAGCUCGUAGGCGGUCUGUCGCGUCGGCUGUGAAAACCCGGAGCUCAACUCCGGGCCUGCAGUCGAUACGGGCAGACUGGAGUUCGGCAGGGGAGACUGGAAUUCCUGGUGUAGCGGUGAAAUGCGCAGAUAUCAGGAGGAACACCGGUGGCGAAGGCGGGUCUCUGGGCCGAUACUGACGCUGAGGAGCGAAAGCGUGGGGAGCGAACGGG